CCCGUUUCAUCUCCUCCCCAAACCCCUCUCAGAGAAGACUUGUAACCCUAGCUGCCGCCCAACAAUUCCCUCGUCGCCACCCCAAACCGCCCCAAAAUUAUACCACAGACCCACCGUGACCUCCUCUCCCCAAAUCUCAAACCAACUUCCCUCGAAUCUAUGUGGAACUCGUCAAAUUUUGAAUCUGAAGCGUGAGUCCUUGAAGCCAAAUCCAAACUCGUUUAUGCAGAGUUAUUGCUCCAGUUAUCAUGAGCUUUUAGGGUUGAUUUUGAUGUUAUUUGGGGAUGAAAUCGGAGUGUCAAGUCCCAGGUUCGAGCUUUAGUCAGUGAGUUUUCCUUCAUUUCUUUGUUCAUCUCUUCUUCUUUUUCUUUGGUGGAUUCAAUUGAAACUCGAUUAAUUUUCUGAUUGAGAGUAGGUAAUGUUCUUGUGUUCUUCAUCAGUUUUAUUUUCUCAAACUUGUUUCUUUGACUUCUUUAGUCCGUUAAACAUGAUUUUUUUAGCACCUCUGUUUAAUUAUUCCAAACUCGCUUAGGGUUAAUUCUGCUUUGUCAAUCUUGUUAUUAUUGGUCUUUGUCUUCUUUUUAAUUCACAAGGGUCAAGGUAAUAGUCAGCCAAGAAGCAAAUUGGUCAUUUUUGUUACUGUCAUUUAGUUUUGUUAGGGCUUGAGUCAGAAGUUGAGUUUUGAAUGUUCAUUUGGAUUGGUCUAGAAUCAGCUGUGGGCUCUUUGAGUCAUUUAUGACCCAGCUCAAAGAUGCUCGGUUGUUAUCAGCCCAGUUUUUGUUUGAUUAGCAAGGUAAAUUCAGGAUCGUUAAUAGGUAGACCACUGUGGGAAUCUUUUGCCAACUAUUUAAGAAGCUUCUGGAAGUUGAAAAUAAACUUGCUUGGCGAGCAAGUCAAAAUUUGAGGGAUUGCUAAAUAAAAAAAAUAAUUCAAAAAGGACUAAAAUGCAAAAUUAAAAUUUUAUUGUUUACCCCAGUUGCUUGCCCAUAAAGGCAUUACUCUAAGCUGAAUUCAGAUUUUGAGGGCUAAAAAUCCAAAAAUAAAAAGGGCGGCUGAAACUUCUCUUAAAAUACUGUUCCAUUGGUUUCUUUGCUGGGUUUUGUUGAAGUUUGAGUCUCUGAAGUAACCUUGAGUCAUUUUGGGGUUAAAAUGAGUUGAAGUUUAGUCAUUUUAAAGCUGGUUUAAGUUUAUAAAGAAAAUACUGUUAUAUUGAGGUUUCUGCUGGGAGUUUUGGAAUUUCUCAUUUUCUGGAUGAUAUUCAGUUCCAUUUGAGUUUUAAAAAUGGAUUUCUGUUGCUGACAAUUUCUGAGCUGUGGUUGUUUAUUGUUGCCUCAUUUCCAUAUUUCUUUUCAUUUUCAGGUACACAUUUCUUAGAUCUACCUAAUGUAAAGCUUGAUUCGAAGUUGAAAUGGAAACCUGGAACAUAAUGUCAAUCUGUUUUUCCUCCUUUUGUUCAUAUUUUAGUUUAAUUUGUUUUAAAUACAGUAUUUGAGUUGUAUGAUGUAUUGCACUUUGCUGGAUGUUUCGUAUUACUAAGAACUACAUGUGGUCUGGGCCUAGUGGGAAUUCAUUUCUCUAUCAAACAUCUCAUGGCUAGAUGUGGGUUGUGACAAAUGAACUCAUACUAUGGUACUUGAUUUUGGACUGUCG
This 1650-nucleotide long non-coding RNA is filed under the name Nicotiana benthamiana. RNAcentral describes it as "long non-coding RNA (NBEN_LNC041704)". Lineage: Eukaryota; Viridiplantae; Streptophyta; Magnoliopsida; Solanales; Solanaceae. The record is from RNAcentral.